AACCCUUGUCACUAGUUGCCAUCAUUUGGUUGGGCACUCUAGUGAGACUGCCGGUGACAAACCGGAGGAAAGUGGGGAUGACGUCAAGUCCUCAUGGCCCUUAUGGUAGGGCUACACACGUGCUACAAUGGCCGGUACAAAGGGCUGCAAUACCGCAAGGUGGAGCGAACCCCAAAAAGCCGGUCUCAGUUCGGAUUGGAGUCUGCAACUCGACUCCAUGAAGUUGGAAUCGCUAGUAAUCGCGGAUCAGCAUGCCGCGGUGAAUACGUUCCCGGGCCUU
RNAcentral lists this ribosomal RNA (280 nucleotides) under uncultured Desulfuromusa sp. RNAcentral describes it as "partial 16S ribosomal RNA". It matches the Rfam family "Bacterial small subunit ribosomal RNA", at positions 1100 to 1382 of the family's 1533-position model. Lineage: Bacteria; Pseudomonadati; Thermodesulfobacteriota; Desulfuromonadia; Desulfuromonadales; Geopsychrobacteraceae. The record is from RNAcentral.